UCACACUUUUCCUCCGCUCGGUUUCCAUGGCUCCCAUUUCCUACUUUCUUCUCAUCUCCUCCGUCCUCAGCCUGUUCUGUAAGGCCAUUCUAAAGUUCCACAGUAUCCAGAUGAGAAACAACAGAGAAAGCAUAAACUCUGGAGUCCAAAGAUAAGGAUUUUAGUCUCAGCAUGCCACAUCUUGGCUAUAUAAUCUCAAAGCAGGUCUCUGAAUAAUAUUUUCUUUAUUGAAGACCAUCUAGUUUCAUCUUGCCU
Lemur catta (Ring-tailed lemur) is the source of this 255-nucleotide long non-coding RNA. RefSeq lists it as uncharacterized. The record is from RefSeq and is a predicted model, not a curated record. The transcript is spliced from 3 exons. Lineage: Eukaryota; Metazoa; Chordata; Mammalia; Primates; Lemuridae.